Long non-coding RNA from Triticum aestivum (bread wheat), 5641 nucleotides. RefSeq lists it as uncharacterized. Lineage: Eukaryota; Viridiplantae; Streptophyta; Magnoliopsida; Poales; Poaceae. The record is from RefSeq and is a predicted model, not a curated record. The transcript is spliced from 5 exons.
GUGCAUGAGAUUUUGCCCAAUCCGCGCCCCGUAUCCCGCACCAGCCACCACCCAAACCCUAGCCCCGUCCCCCCUCGAUCCCCACAGCCUCGCCCACCUCCUCCAUCCCUCCUCCUCGCCUCGCCACGGCCUCCGCCCCGGAGCCUCGCCGCCGCCUGCGAUUCCUCCCUCCUGCCCGCAGAGCCCAUUGGGCUAGCCAACCCUAGCCCCAAUCCACAUCCCCCGCGCCCCUCACUGGUCCCUCCUCCUCCUUCCCUCGUCCGCCGCCUCGCUCCCUCGCUCUCCUCCCUCGUCGCCGUGGCCUUCGGCCUAGGAGCCCCGGCGGCUACUGCUCCUCCUCCACCACCUCGCCUCUUUCUCCUCCUCGCCUUCCCAUCGCUCGCGCGCAUGUCACCGCCGUCGAAGAACACGGGAGUGCGGGUCUUCAAGUUGGGGUGGUCAGGAGGGCUUCCCAACCUGACGGCGCCUCCUCCUCCUCGCAGCGUCGUAGCGCGUGCACCUUCUUAUCCCCCCUCCUCCCUCCCUCGUCACUACUUCCACCAGUUCCCUCCCUUCCUCGUCUGUGGACGCUGCUGACCCCUCCUCCGGCCUCUGCGUCUCCGCCCAGGCGGCAAGGCCCCCAGCCCCCCUCGGGCCUCGGCCCCUCCGUACAGCCCGCUUCUGCCUCGUCCAACUCGCUGCUUAGCUCCCAAGAUAAUUUCAGUGGUGAUACCUGAUGCUGUAUGUGUCUGACUGUCUGUUCACUGUCUUUCUAUGGCGAUAGCUUGAUAUAUGGCUGAUGUAUGUUCAGUCUUCGUUUUUUCCCUCCUGGUGAAUGGUGAUAUAUGCAUGGUGAUAGCUGCUACUGUAUGUGUAUAUGUUGUGGUAUUCUUUCUUAUUGUUGUAUGUGUAUGUAUGUAUGUAUGCAGUGAGCAUUUCGUUUCUGUCCUCCUUCGUUUUUGUUGGAUGCAUGCGUCCAGUUAGAUUUUUCAGAGCAUAUGUAUGAACGGCUUAGAUUUUUGCAGAGCAUAUCAUAUGUGUAACGAGUUAGAUUUUUGCAGAGGGUAUCUAUGCGAUUCAUCUCCCUCUGCUAGAUAAAUGGUUUGCCCUAAACAAGCAUAUACAUCAAAAUACAAAGGAGAAUUACGCCUCUGUUUUAUGUUAUGUGUUCUGCUUGCUAUCUUGUUUAUGGACUCUCUGUAAGUGCGCCUUUCCAUCGGCAACCUUGUGCUUUGGUUGUCAGAUUGCCACUGUUUGUGAUAUGGUAAUAGUUUUCCUUGGCGUUACUUAAUUAGCCCCUGGUUAUAUUUUGUUGUUUCCCCUUGAAACUACAUUCCCGAUCUGGAGCGGGAGGCCAGGGAUGCCUCGUAUGUGUCUCCGUAAUUUUCUUCUCAGUUUGACAAGGAAUAUGCCUAUGGUAGUCUUCUGAUUUUGGGUGUAGAUUCUGAUUUUGUUGGCAAAACAAUGGUAGAUUUCUCCAUUAGCUUAUAUGAUUUGGGGCUGAUUUUCCUUGUGUGAUUCCUGUUCAUGGCCUUGUUGUGGGAGAUUGCAAAAGUGAAGUGAAUUAAGUGUGAAAAAAUAGCAGGAUCAAUGCCUGGGCUGUAGAUUUCUCCAUUGGUUUAGUCAUGGCUAAUAUGAACUUCUCUAUUAUAUUACUUAUGGAUUGUUCAGUAAAAUGAAACCUCAUGGUGUGGCAUAUCACCUCCCUUGCACAUAUACUUGUACCCAACUUAGACCAUCAGUGGAACUGUCUAUAUUGUACAGGUCAACUAAUACACGUAUGUAUGUAUGUAUGCAGUGAGCAUUCCGUUUCUGUCCUCCUUCGUUUUUGUUGGAUGCAUGCGUCCAGUUAGAUUUUUCAGAGCAUAUGUAUGAAUGGCUUAGAUUUUUGCAGAGCAUAUCAUAUGUGUAACGAGUUAGAUUUUUGCAGAGGGUAUCUAUGCGAUUCAUCUCCCUCUGCUACUUGAUUAAAUGGAUGAAUCCAGUUAGAUUCUGAAUGUGAUGAACGUCUUAUAUAUACGCCACACAUGGUGCAGCAGGCUCGGAGGGCAGCGGGCGCGGCAGGCUUGGCAGGCAGCGGGCGCGGUGGUCAAGGCCAGGGGCGCGGAUUGGGGAGAUGCGCACACGAGGAGCGACGGCCUAUGUUUUAAAGGCGUCCGUAAGGCGACGCCUAGGCGACGCCUAGGCGUUGAGGCGCCCCCCCCAGCGCUUUGCGCUUUAGGCGCCUAGGCGUCCGCUUUAGGCGCCUAGGCGUCGCCUAGGCGUCGAAGCGCCCCCCCAGCGCCUUAAAGCAAGGCGUCGCCUUAAAAACAUAGGCGACGGCGACCGUGUCUGCCGCCAACACUGAGGUGAGCUUCACCCAAUCUCUCUCUUACUCUCUCUGUGCGGCCUCCUCCCCUUGGCCCCUGAUUCAUUGAUGAGGUAUGCCAAUAUGCCAUGGUUGUGUGUUCGCAAACCCUUCCCUUUUAUCACUAUCAAAUAGUGUCAAACAGAGCAUCUUAUACUUUGUUUCUACGUGCAAAUCAGCUCUUCGUUCUUUCAAGCCCUAUGUUGCUUACUCAAAUGUUUGUGGCGAUUGUAUCCUUGUGCCAUGAAUAUUUGUACUUAGCAGAUCAAUAUGAACAUAUUGGUUAUCUAUUUACCAAUUCAGAAUUUAAAACACUUUAUUUUAUGGCCUUGAGUAAAAGUUCAGUCAUUGUUGGCUGGAAGACAUCUUCAAUACGCUGUCAACACGAGCUUCCCAAGGUAAUGAUCUAAGAGGAAGUGAGUUCGAGAUGAGAUGGGGACAGAAGAUCCUGCAGCGAUGUUGUUUCUUGUUCUCCUGCUCAAGGUUUGCUCUUUCCUACUUACUGUCAUGGUGGUUGGUUCACUGCUCGUUUUAUUGUUUCGGAAUUAGCCGCCUGUCGUGUUUUGAUUUGCCUCGUGCUGCUUAUAUUUCGUGUUUGCGUGUGGGAAGGAUGUGUGCUAUAGAUUUUGUGUGUGCAUCCGAGAUACCUAGAAUGGUUGAGAACUGAAUGUGUUGCCCUAUUUAAUUGGCAUAUUCAACUUAAUUAAUACGCCUUUUAGCCGUGACUUCUGCCCAAACUUUUGAAAGUGCAGAUGAUCACGCUAUCGGGUAAUGGUGUUUUCUAUUGCAAUUUGUCAGCUAUACUACAUGCUGCCCCUGUUUCUUUUGCUCUGCUAAAAAUGUGUGCUUACUUUCAAUCUUAUUACAUCAAUAGACUUCCGGGCGUAUAGUAUUUCUGUAAUCUCUAUGCCUUACUGGUUUUGUGAUUUCAGCUCAGGUGGAUGAGCCCCGUCCUGUGUUAUUCCCCUUGGUUUCUGAAGCUCCCAGGAUUUAAUAAUGAAUUGUCUUGGGCUUCAUUGGACAAAUGAUCUACCUCGAGCAAUGAUGCAGUGUAGGUUGGCGUUGAAGCCUCAUGGCGUUUUUCUUGCAGCAAAUCUUGGCGGGAAGACUCUGAAGUGAUAAUCUUAAAUUUGCCAUUUACCGACAUUUUCCAGUUUCUUGUUUGACUUGCCUUUUCUUGGAUGCGAUGAUAAGGGAACUAAGAAUUGCGUGCACUAUUGCUCAAAUGGAACAUAAGGGAGGCAUCCGUCCUCGAAUGUUGCCUUUAGAACAAGUAUGAUUCCUUUAUAAUCUGAGAUUUUGCCCUUCCAGGAGUUGAUGUAGAUCGAUAUACAGUCAAAUACAAUACUGGCGUGUAUAAAAAAACUUGAAUUUUCCUGGGAUUGAACUUUGAACUAAUAAAUCUAGACUAUGGAGGUAAUGUGCUUUGCAUUAUUAUAGAUCGUAUAUGCUGCUCUUACUUAAUUAUACUUUCUAAUUACAUGCUGCCCCUGUUUCUUUUGUUGUGCUAAAAAUGGGUGCUUACUUUCAAUCUUAUCGCAUCAAUAGACUUGCGGGCGUAUAGUAUUUCUGUAAUCUCUGUGCCUUACCGAUUUUGUGAUUUCAGCUCAGGUGGAUGAGCCCCAUCCUGUGUUAUUCCCCUUGGUUUCUGAAGCUCCCAGGAUUUAAUAAUGAGGUGUCUUGGGCUUCAUUGGACAGAUGAUCUACCUCGAGCAAUGAUACAUUGUAGGUUGGCGUUGAAGUCUGAUGGCGUUUUUCUUGCAGCAAAUCUUGGCAGGAAGACUCUGAAGUGAUAAUCUUAAAUUUGCCAUUUACCGACAUUUUCCAGUUUCUUGUUUGACUUGCCUUUUCUUGGAUGCGAUGAUAAGGGAACUAAGAAUUGCGUGCACUAUUGCUCAAAUGGAACAUAAGGGAGGUAUCAGUCCUCAAAUGUUGCCUCUAGAACAAAAGUAACGCUCAAAAGCCUGAAUAGAAUUCCUUGGGAAAGGGUAGAUGUUAGCUUCAAGAGAAGUAGACAAUAGAUUUUUGCCCAUAGCACCAUUCAGCCCUACUGCUCCUGAGCCCAAAUCCCAUGACCAUGCCCCCACCUCUCCUUUGUUGAAUGAAGGGAGUCUGGUUGCUAAAAAGUGAGUUUUCUUAAUCAGUAUGUAUGGCCCCUCUGCACAUGAUGUUUCUUCGUAUUUAUGAGGCCCUCAAGCUUUGUCAGUUUUCUAAUAGAUAUGGAAUUUUAAUUUGAUAGUCCCAACAACGAUGGGUAUUGAUGGAGCUAUCUAUUAUUUAUUGUCAAUCUGUAAUACUUUUGUCAGCUUCUAGCAUGUCGUUGCUCUGCCAGAGUGCAAUUUUCUCUGCAUGGCAUACACCAGUUACCAUUAGUUGAUAUGUUUGUUGAAGUUUUAUUGCAAGUUAAAUAAAUGUGUAGUGUGGCAUACUGAUUAUUAUAGUUUGAUAAUGUCAGGCGCCGAUGGCUUUAGAUAUGUAAAUAAAAUAUGGUGAUUGUCACCGGCAUGUAGUGUGGCAUACUAAUCAAAUGACUAAGCAUUUAAUUAUUGUUCUGUUAUGUUAUUGAUUUCACCGGCUUUAUGUCGGCUGAUUAGUUCUGAAGGAUUCCACAUCGGCUAAUUUAGAUUAUGUUACUAGAGUAUUAGAAGAAGUUCCUGAUAUAUGUAUUUAGAGCAUUUGCUGAGAUUUGAUGCAAAAUAUUGAUGACCAGGCAUUAUACUGCGCAUAAGCACAAUUUUUUAGUUUUUCUUUUUAUUGUUGCAGCAACUUUUCUAUAGCAAUAGCCAAAUAGUGUGACAUAACACUAUUCCAUUUUCAUAGGCCAUAACACAUCUUUACAUGUAAGUUUGUUCUCUAGAUAGUUCUCUUUCCAAGAUUUUCAUAUCAUAUUUGUUGUGGGAUCUGACUGCUUUACCAUAUUUUCCUGGUGUGGACGAUGUUAUAGAGUGAGCUACCAUCACUUCUCAUUACUGACUGUAAUCAAUAUAUAUGUGUUUAUGCCAUAAAAGAUGGAUAUUUGUCGAAGCCGUUGUCGUGUCAUGUAAUUACCUGGAGAUCAGCUAUAUAGUUUUGUUCAGAUUGUAAAGUGGAAACGACAACUCCUGUGUGAUUGUCAUUUGAUUAUUUACUUCCUCAAGUAGUAUGGAUAUGGUGCUGCCAGGAUAUUAAGUAUAUUCAUGAAGUUGUAUAAACCACGUUCUACGAUUCACUUAUGUUAUGCAUAUAUACUUUCCAGUUUUAGGACUGAAAUCCAUCCAUUGUAAUGAACUUGGUUGUAUGGGCAUUACCUAUUUGACUUAGGCUUGCUUCAUCACA